GGAGCUCAUUGAAGCUGUGGCUGUGGUCUUUAGCCGGGAAGAGUGGGCAUUGCUGGAUCCUGCUCAGCAGAAACUCUACAGAGAUGUGAUGGAGGAAACUCUGGGAAACCUGGCCUCCGUAGUCUCUCAAAGCCUUAAUGGAGGGGAAAUACUAUCUACUGAACAUAUAACGCUGCAGCUCAUGAAGAGUGAGACCUGGUCUUCCAUUGUAGCUGAAAUCUCCGAGUCACGAGUCAGUAAAGACCAGCGUGAAAAGCAGCGGGUACAUUUGAGCGCUCUGAAAGCACAGAAACACUGUGAAAGCAAUGAAGGUAAUCCGUGUGGGAAAGCCUCCAGCCAGG
Molecule: long non-coding RNA, 341 nt
Organism: Echinops telfairi (small Madagascar hedgehog)
Lineage: Eukaryota; Metazoa; Chordata; Mammalia; Afrosoricida; Tenrecidae
Exons: 3
Source: RefSeq, a predicted model, not a curated record